RNAcentral lists this ribosomal RNA (511 nucleotides) under uncultured bacterium. RNAcentral describes it as "bacterial SSU rRNA". It matches the Rfam family "Bacterial small subunit ribosomal RNA", at positions 28 to 534 of the family's 1533-position model. The record is from RNAcentral.
GAUGAACGCUAGCGGCAGGCUUAACACAUGCAAGUCGAGGGGCAGCGCGAUGUAGCAAUACAUUGGCGGCGACCGGCGCACGGGUGCGUAACACGUAUGGAACUUACCCUUUACUGGGAGAUAGCCCGGAGAAAUCCGGAUUAAUAUCCCAUAAUAAACGAGGUGGCAUCACUUUGUUUUGAAAGCUCCGGCGGUAAAGGAUGGCCAUGCGCACGAUUAGCUAGUAGGUGAGGUAACGGCUCACCUAGGCUACGAUCGUUAGGGGGCCUGAGAGGGUUAUCCCCCACACUGGUACUGAGACACGGACCAGACUCCUACGGGAGGCAGCAGUGAGGAAUAUCGCGCAAUGGAGGCAACUCUGACGCAGCCAUGCCGCGUGCAGGAAGAAGGCGCUACGCGUUGUAAACUGCUUUUAACCGGGAAGAAACCCCAGGACGUGUCCUGGGUUGACGGUACCGGAGGAAUAAGCACCGGCUAACUUCGUGCCAGCAGCCGCGGUAAAGUAGUCGUG